UGUAGAUGCUUGCUCACCGAAGAGGAAUUCCUGUUCAUUGGUGUUUUAGGAACCUGUUACAUUCAAGGAUGUGGCCAUGGACUUCACCAAAGAGGAAUGGGGGCAACUAGACUAUGCACAAAGGGCCUUUACAGAGAAGUGAUGCUGGAGAUCUAUGGCAACCUGGUCAUAGUGGGAUUUUGCAAGCCAUCUUGAAUGUUUCCCAAUACUAUUGCUUGGCAAAUAGCAAAAGUAAGCAAAAACAAAGGGAUCCAUUGCCUUAUUUAUCAAGAGCUCUUAGAAAUCAAGAAGAAAAAGCAUGGAAAAUAUGAAGAGACUUGUCAGAGAGAGAUACAAAUGAUCCUUAAAUUUUUGGAAAGGUGUUCUACCUUUCUCAUUAUAUGAGAAAUGAAAAUCAAAACCAUACUGAGACACCAUUUCCUACCUAUCAGGUUAGCAAAAAAUUGAAAAGGUUUUUUUUUGUCUGUUUGUUUUGUUUGUUUGUUUGU
Molecule: long non-coding RNA, 488 nt
Filed under: Homo sapiens (human)
Lineage: Eukaryota; Metazoa; Chordata; Mammalia; Primates; Hominidae
Description: HSALNT0291653
Source: RNAcentral